This 302-nucleotide long non-coding RNA is filed under the name Phoenix dactylifera (date palm). Its description in RNAcentral is "long non-coding RNA (PDAC_LNC017126)". Lineage: Eukaryota; Viridiplantae; Streptophyta; Magnoliopsida; Arecales; Arecaceae. The record is from RNAcentral.
AAAUGCGGCUCCUCUUGAGUAUUAUUUCUAGGACCCUAUUUCCUAAGACCGGCCGCUUCGACUUUGUAUCCGAGAGGGACCUAGCCCUCAUGUAUUACAUUCUCCAAGACACCCCAAUUAACUUCCCUAAACUGAUCUACAAAUAUCUAUGUGAGCCACUAGACAAACCUAGGCUCACCCUUCCAUAUGGGAUGAUGUAUACCCUGAUUUUUAGGGAGUCCGAGAUCCCUAUUCCUGAGGGGGAACCCUCUCACGCACUGCGAUACACAGAUCGCAUGGGUGAGGGAACCCUUCACAGGAUG